GAUGAACGCUGGCGGCGUGCCUAAUACAUGCAAGUCGAGCGAACAGACGAGGAUCUUGCGCCUCGGACGUUAGCGGCGGACGGGUGAGUAACACGUGGAUAACCUACCUAUAAUACUGGGAUAACUUCGGGAAACCGGAGCUAAUACCGUAUAAUAUAUUGAACCGCGUGGUGCGAUGGUGAGAGACGGUUUUGCGGGCUGGUCUCGAUGGAUCCGCGCCGCAUGAGCUAGUUGUUAAGUUAACGGCUUACCAAGGCGACCAGGCGUAGCCGACCUCAGAGAGUGAUCGCCGACAUGGGAACUGAGCCACGGUCAAGACUACUAAGGGAGGCCGCAGUAGGGAACCUUCCGCAAUGGGCGAAAGCCUGACGCAACAACGCCGCGCGAGUGAUGAAGGUCUCCGGAUCGUAAAACUCUGUUAUUAGGGAAGAACCAAUGUGUAAGUAACUAUGCACGUCUUGACGGUACCUAAUCAGAAAGCCCCGGCUAACUACGUG
RNAcentral lists this ribosomal RNA (497 nucleotides) under uncultured bacterium. RNAcentral describes it as "partial 16S ribosomal RNA". It matches the Rfam family "Bacterial small subunit ribosomal RNA", at positions 28 to 507 of the family's 1533-position model. The record is from RNAcentral.